GACGAACGCUGGCGGCGUGCCUAAUACAUGCAAGUCGAACGCUUCUUUCCUCCCGAGUGCUUGCACUCAAUUGGAAAGAGGAGUGGCGGACGGGUGAGUAACACGUGGGUAACCUACCCAUCAGAGGGGGAUAACACUUGGAAACAGGUGCUAAUACCGCAUAACAGUUUAUGCCGCAUGGCAUAAGAGUGAAAGGCGCUUUCGGGUGUCGCUGAUGGAUGGACCCGCGGUGCAUUAGCUAGUUGGUGAGGUAACGGCUCACCAAGGCCACGAUGCAUAGCCGACCUGAGAGGGUGAUCGGCCACACUGGGACUGAGACACGGCCCAGACUCCUACGGGAGGCAGCAGUAGGGAAUCUUCGGCAAUGGACGAAAGUCUGACCGAGCAACGCCGCGUGAGUGAAGAAGGUUUUCGGAUCGUAAAACUCUGUUGUUAGAGAAGAACAAGGACGUUAGUAACUGAACGUCCCCUGGCGGUAUCUAACCAGAAAGCCACGGCUAACUACGU
Molecule: ribosomal RNA, 507 nt
Filed under: uncultured bacterium
Lineage: Bacteria
Description: partial 16S ribosomal RNA
Rfam family: Bacterial small subunit ribosomal RNA
Source: RNAcentral